This 597-nucleotide ribosomal RNA is filed under the name uncultured bacterium. RNAcentral describes it as "bacterial SSU rRNA". It matches the Rfam family "Bacterial small subunit ribosomal RNA", at positions 332 to 929 of the family's 1533-position model. The record is from RNAcentral.
CAGACUCCUACGGGAGGCAGCAGUGAGGAAUAUUGGACAAUGGUCGGAAGACUGAUCCAGCCAUGCCGCGUGCAGGAUGAAGGUCUUAUGGAUUGUAAACUGCUUUUGUAAGGGAAGAAUAAGGGCUACGCGUAGUUUGAUGACGGUACCUUAUGAAUAAGCAUCGGCUAACUCCGUGCCAGCAGCCGCGGUAAUACGGAGGAUGCGAGCGUUAUCCGGAAUCAUUGGGUUUAAAGGGUCUGUAGGCGGGCUGGUAAGUCAGAGGUGAAAGCGCUCAGCUCAACUGAGCAACUGCCUUUGAAACUGUUAGUCUUGAAUGGUUGUGAAGUAGUUGGAAUGUGUAGUGUAGCGGUGAAAUGCUUAGAUAUUACACAGAACACCGAUAGCGAAGGCAUAUUACUAACAAUUAAUUGACGCUGAUGGACGAAAGCGUGGGGAGCGAACAGGAUUAGAUACCCUGGUAGUCCACGCUGUAAACGAUGGAUACUAGCUGUUUGGUUUAAGGAUUGAGUGGCUAAGCGAAAGUGAUAAGUAUCCCACCUGGGGAGUACGUUCGCAAGAAUGAAACUCAAAGGAAUUGACGGGGGCCCGCACAAG